CUCAGGGAGAAGUCAGUUUAAUUUAUGAGCCCCCAUUGCUUCUUCAAAGGAAAUAUAUACCCUCUUGCAAAAUAAAAAAGGGGAUGGAGGAUAAAAGCAGCAGCUGAGGAUUCUUGGAGUGCAGGAGAAUCCUCAGCUGCCAUGGAAAUAAUGAGGACAGCACCAGCUGUUCCCAGUCGGUCCCACACUCUUUGGGGGCACUGUUGAAAGCCAGCUGGUGCACACUGCUCAGGUGAUGCUGUUGGUGAGGUACAAAUGGUGUGUGCUCAAACCACUAAGGAAAGGUUUAAAAUGUGUUUAAAGAUCAUCAUGGCAAUGUGGAACAGCUUCUUUUCUGCUUCACUCGGUUACGUUUUGUAAAGCAUACUCUGGAAUCAUGAAUAUGUGCCCGUGCUUGGUGCAGGAUAUGGGCUGGACCUUUUUCCUGCCUGAUUGCCAGAGAAAAGUUGCCAUCACAGGCAGCUGCAGACUGGACCGCAGGCAAGACAGGGCUGCAGACUGGCUGCAGUGUCAGAACAGAUUUCUAGUCUUCUAAGAUGGAAAGACAAGGAAAAUGAAACACUUCAUAUCGAUCUGUGAGUAUAAAGGCAUCUUUAUAUACCCUCUACCUGAAGAGGUAAAGUCAAUAUAACACCUAAUGCAAAGCUUCUACAAGGUUUCAUUUGAUUCAAAAAUCAUUUGUUUUCCUUCAGUCCUUACCUGGCCUCUCCAGGAGUCCAGCAGAUAGCAAAUCUGUGCAGAGUGUAGAAUGCCC
Molecule: long non-coding RNA, 754 nt
Filed under: Parus major (Great Tit)
Lineage: Eukaryota; Metazoa; Chordata; Aves; Passeriformes; Paridae
Description: lncRNA (ENSPMJG00000014307.1)
Source: RNAcentral